GUAGGUGGCAAGCGUUGUCCGGAAUUAUUGGGCGUAAAGCGCGCGCAGGCGGUUCUUUAAGUCUGAUGUGAAAGCCCACGGCUCAACCGUGGAGGGUCAUUGGAAACUGGAGAACUUGAGUACAGAAGAGGAAAGCGGAAUUCCACGUGUAGCGGUGAAAUGCGUAGAGAUGUGGAGGAACACCAGUGGCGAAGGCGGCUUUCUGGUCUGUAACUGACGCUGAGGCGCGAAAGCGUGGGGAGCAAACAGGAUUAGAUACCCUGGUAGUCCACGCCGUAAACGAUGAGUGCUAAGUGCUAGGGGGUUUCCGCCCCUUAGUGCUGCAGCUAACGCAUUAAGCACUCCGCCCUGGGAGUACGGCCGCAAGGCUG
Molecule: ribosomal RNA, 371 nt
Filed under: uncultured organism
Description: partial 16S ribosomal RNA
Rfam family: Bacterial small subunit ribosomal RNA
Source: RNAcentral